Molecule: long non-coding RNA, 239 nt
Filed under: Sphenodon punctatus (tuatara)
Lineage: Eukaryota; Metazoa; Chordata; Lepidosauria; Sphenodontia; Sphenodontidae
Description: HOXA11 antisense RNA 1 conserved region 4 (ENSSPUG00000016096.1)
Rfam family: HOXA11 antisense RNA 1 conserved region 4
Source: RNAcentral
GGUAUGUCUAGAUCCUGGGCGAGGUCUAUUAUAAAUUCUGGAUCUUCGGUAUUUAAACGUCACCAUCGAUUUGUUUAUUUAUAGCCGAGCUUAUGGUAACUGACUCAAUAACAAAUCUAAUCAUGUUGGGUCCUGCGGAAGAAAAAAAGUAAUGUACUCAUUAUGUAUUUUCGCUAAAUUAGAAUUAACUCUUCCACUGGAAUCCCAGCUGUAAAUAUCAAUAUUAUCAAGUAAUUACU